CGCAGUCCAGGGACUUGUCCCCGGGCCACGCCAUCACUGUGCUGGGAAGCCCCCCGGGGCCCACCCGCAGCCGGUCUCCCCAAGAGUCCCGGUUCACAGGUCAGACGAUGGUGGCCACCCUUCUCCGGUGGUUCAGAUAUGAUCGAAACCUCUGGGUUUCCCAGUGGGUAACCUUGUUCCGUAGGUGAACCUGCGGAAGGAUCAUUAAAAGAGGAAUGGGUCCCUCGGGGCCCUCAGCUCUCACCCUUUGUGAAUCUACCUUCGUUGCUUUGGCGGGCCGUGGGGUCCCCGGACCCCCCGUCGACCCCGGUGGACGUGCGCCCGCCAGAGACCCCUAAACUCUGUUAAUUAGUGAAGUCCGAGUCAUAAUUUAAUCGUUAAAACUUUCAACAACGGAUCUCUUGGUUCUGGCAUCGAUGAAGAACGCAGCGAAAUGCGAUAAGUAAUGUGAAUUGCAAAAUUCAGUGAAUCAUCGAAUCUUUGAACGCACAUUGCGCCCUCUGGUAUUCCGGGGGGCAUGCCUGUUCGAGCGUCAUUACACCUCUCAAGCUCAGCUUGGUAUUGGGCGCCGCCUCCCCGGGGGCGCGCCCGAAAGUCAGCGGCGACGCGGUCGGUCUUCAAGCGUAGUAAAACCUCUGUUUCGCUUUUGGAGCCCGGGCGGGUCCGCCGGACAACCCCCAAUUUUUCAAUGGUUGACCUCGGAUCAGGUAGGGAUACCCGCUGAACUUAAGCAUAUCUA
This 739-nucleotide ribosomal RNA is filed under the name Xylographa trunciseda. RNAcentral describes it as "eukaryotic LSU rRNA". The stretch from base 382 to 535 matches the Rfam family "5.8S ribosomal RNA". The record is from RNAcentral. Lineage: Eukaryota; Fungi; Ascomycota; Lecanoromycetes; Baeomycetales; Xylographaceae.